Molecule: ribosomal RNA, 562 nt
Filed under: Nonomuraea sp. 424D09
Lineage: Bacteria; Bacillati; Actinomycetota; Actinomycetes; Streptosporangiales; Streptosporangiaceae
Description: bacterial SSU rRNA
Rfam family: Bacterial small subunit ribosomal RNA
Source: RNAcentral
GAGCGGCGAACGGGUGAGUAACACGUGAGUAACCUGCCCCUGACUCUGGGAUAAGCCUGGGAAACCGGGUCUAAUACCGGAUGUGACCUCCUCCGGCAUCGGAUGGUGGUGGAAAGUUUUUCGGUCAGGGAUGGGCUCGCGGCCUAUCAGCUUGUUGGUGGGGUAGUGGCCUACCAAGGCGACGACGGGUAGCCGGCCUGAGAGGGCGACCGGCCACACUGGGACUGAGACACGGCCCAGACUCCUACGGGAGGCAGCAGUGGGGAAUAUUGCGCAAUGGGCGGAAGCCUGACGCAGCGACGCCGCGUGGGGGAUGACGGCCUUCGGGUUGUAAACCUCUUUCAGCAGGGACGAAGUUGACGUGUACCUGCAGAAGAAGCGCCGGCUAACUACGUGCCAGCAGCCGCGGUAAUACGUAGGGCGCAAGCGUUGUCCGGAAUUAUUGGGCGUAAAGAGCUCGUAGGUGGCUGGUCGCGUCUGCCGUGAAAGCCCGCAGCUUAACUGCGGGUCUGCNGGUGGAUACNGGGCCGGCUAGAGGUAGGUAGGGGCAAGUGGAAUUCCU